RNAcentral lists this transfer RNA (67 nucleotides) under Metallus mai. RNAcentral describes it as "tRNA-Leu". The record is from RNAcentral. Lineage: Eukaryota; Metazoa; Arthropoda; Insecta; Hymenoptera; Tenthredinidae.
ACUAUUUUGGCAGAAAAUUGUAAUAAAUUUAGAAUUUAUAUAUGUAUAAGUUGUUAUACAAAUAGUA